Molecule: long non-coding RNA, 903 nt
Organism: Sardina pilchardus (European sardine)
Lineage: Eukaryota; Metazoa; Chordata; Actinopteri; Clupeiformes; Clupeidae
Exons: 3
Source: RefSeq, a predicted model, not a curated record
CUUAUCAGCAUGCGCACGCACUUCCCCACCCAACUGACUUUUAAAAUCCAACCCCUGCACUGCUGCCGAGUCCGACUUCAGUUCAACCGUCAUUUUUCUGUCAUGUAUCUGAAGCUGUACAAACUCUGCCGUCUUCAUAUCCAAGGUAAGAACUACAGUACUUUUGUAUGCUAAUUGAAAACUGGAAUUAAUUAGAAAAGUACAGGGUUUUUUUUUAUUUAUAAUGUAGCACUAAUGUUAACCGUCAACUGUCAUGUUAGAAUUAGCUAACGUUAUGAAUUAGCUAGCGAGCUAACAUCGCUAACGUUAGCUGUUACAAAUUAAUGUUAGCUGCUAACUUUUCCAAUAACUAACUUUACCAUUAUGGAAUGGUAGUAAUAUCAUAAGUCUGUCUGAGAUGUCGUUAGGAAUGUAAAGUUUUAGUUUGAAUGAAAUGGUCCAGGGCUAGGCUAUCAGUCUUGAAUGUUAGCUAACCUAGCUAGAAGCUAUACCUUACAUUUAAAGUGGCUGCUGCUGACGUGAACUUUAACGUUACAGAGACAGGCGGCUGACCCACGUCAAUACCGAAGUAAAUGCCAGGGAUCUUUAGUUUGUGAAAGGUAACGUAGUGUUAAGCCAUCCUUACACCAGAAGACUUCGACAAGAUUUGGACGGUGAGUUGUGACGACUGCUGUCCUGAGACCAUUGAGUGCAGUCUGGAAUAUUCCAAAUGUGUGCCAGUUCCAUAAGAAAAUGUUCCAAUCAAGAGUACACUCACCAGUGGGCUCAAUAGUCCAGGACAAAGUCGGUCUGUCCUUCUACUACUACAUGCUACUUGACUUUGUCUGGAAGCCAUGGAUGCUGCCCUCAACAUGCUGUAAGUGUCUUUGUGUUUUGAAUGAGGGCUAUGGGGUAUGUUACUGU